Molecule: long non-coding RNA, 643 nt
Organism: Ceratina calcarata
Lineage: Eukaryota; Metazoa; Arthropoda; Insecta; Hymenoptera; Apidae
Exons: 2
Source: RefSeq, a predicted model, not a curated record
AGCUUACAAUUGGAUCAACCUGUAUAAGAGUAAGAUUAAAAUAAACUCUUUAAGGUUAGUAAUAGGACACUUAGGGUCACCUUGUAAUUGUAAGAUUCAAACUGUCGACAAUUCGUAAAUAAGUAUUAUAGCAUAACUACUGUGCAAAAUGUAACAGAAGUGACAAAAGUGAAUACACGUUAUUGAUUCGUUUUUUCAUGUAACUAACAGAACAUGCACAUUAUAUAAAGACUGUCAUGCAUAAUAGGAUCCACAGAAUGACGGAAUUGUCAACGAAAGCUUUACCUUUGCAGCAUCGAAAAUCUUUUGGACAGCAGCAGAAAUUUCGGGUCCGAUACCAUCUCCAGGAAUAAGCGUGCAUUUGUGAACUUUACUGCUGUAAUAACGAGCAGAACCGAUUUUCGGAACCUGUUAAUUCAAACGUCGAUUCGAUUAAAAGUUAUUCGUGAAAAGUUACCAGAACGAGUAAAGAGGGUACGGAUAAUGAUGAUAUUAAAAAGGAAAAGGGUAGGGUUUCGCUCGGGACACUCGUCGUUUCACGGAUUUCCUGAUUGACGCCUGUUACUUACUGCAUUUCGUAUCCAUUGCGCAGCCAUUCUCUUUGUAAAAUUUACAAUAAAAACACAAACCACCACCACCUAAA